AUACAGAGGGUGCAAGCGUUAUUCGGAAUUACUGGGCGUAAAGCGCGCGUAGGCGGAUGAUUAAGUCAGUUGUGAAAGCCCUGGGCUCAACCUAGGAACUGCAUCUGAUACUGGUCGUCUAGAGUUUAAGAGAGGGAAGUGGAAUUCCAGGUGUAGCAGUGAAAUGCGUAGAUAUCUGGAGGAACAUCAGUGGCGAAGGCGACUUCCUGGCUUAGAACUGACGCUGAGGUGCGAAAGCGUGGGUAGCGAACGGGAUUAGAUACCCUAGUAGUCC
RNAcentral lists this ribosomal RNA (274 nucleotides) under uncultured bacterium. RNAcentral's name for it is "partial 16S ribosomal RNA". It matches the Rfam family "Bacterial small subunit ribosomal RNA", at positions 523 to 796 of the family's 1533-position model. The record is from RNAcentral.